GACGAACGCUGGCGGCGUGCUUAACACAUGCAAGUCGAACGAGAGCGUAGAGAAAGCUUGCUUUUUCUACAAUCUAGUGGCAAACGGGUGAGUAACGCGUAAACAACCUGCCCUACGGAUGGGGACAACAGCUGGAAACGGCUGCUAAUACCGAAUACGUUCCGAAAGUCGCAUGACUAUCGGAAGAAAGGAUGGCCUCUAUUUAUAAGCUAUCGCCGGAGGAGGGGUUUGCGUCUGAUUAGCUAGUUGGAGGGGUAACGGCCCACCAAGGCGACGAUCAGUAGCCGGUCUGAGAGGAUGAACGGCCACAUUGGAACUGAGACACGGUCCAGACUCCUACGGGAGGCAGCAGUGGGGAAUCUUCCGCAAUGGGCGAAAGCCUGAAGGAGCAACGCCGCGUGAGUGAAGACGGCCUUCGGGUUGUAAAGCUCUGUUAUACGGGACGAAUAAUCUUGUGGUUAAUACCCAUGAGAAGUGACGGUACCGUAAGAGAAAGCCACGGCUAACUACGUG
This 513-nucleotide ribosomal RNA is filed under the name uncultured bacterium. RNAcentral describes it as "partial 16S ribosomal RNA". It matches the Rfam family "Bacterial small subunit ribosomal RNA", at positions 28 to 507 of the family's 1533-position model. The record is from RNAcentral.